UGGUUCUGGCAUCGAUGAAGAACGCAGCGAAAUGCGAUAAGUAGUGUGAAUUGCAGAAUUUAGUGAAUCAUCGAAUCUUUGAACGCACAUUGCGCCCCUUGGUAUUCCUUGGGGCAUGCCUGUUCGAGCGUCAUUAUACCGCAGUCAAGCUCUGCUCGGUGCUGGGCGUUUGUCCUGCCUCCCCGGUGCGGACUCGCCCCAAGGUCAUUGGCGGCCCGCGUUUUGGCUUCGAGCGCAGCAGAUUUCUCUUUGCGCCUCCCCGCCAUUUGCGUGGGCGUCCAGGGAGCCCCCCAUCUAGGUUGACCUCGGAUCAGGUAGGGAUACCCGCUGA
This 331-nucleotide unclassified non-coding RNA is filed under the name uncultured fungus. RNAcentral describes it as "partial contains 5.8S ribosomal RNA and internal transcribed spacer 2". The stretch from base 1 to 133 matches the Rfam family "5.8S ribosomal RNA", at positions 22 to 154 of the family's 154-position model. Lineage: Eukaryota; Fungi. The record is from RNAcentral.